Molecule: non-coding RNA, 148 nt
Filed under: Chlorocebus sabaeus (green monkey)
Lineage: Eukaryota; Metazoa; Chordata; Mammalia; Primates; Cercopithecidae
Source: Rfam by way of RNAcentral
GCUGGGUACGGUGGCGUGUACCUGUAGUCCCAGCUAGUUGGGAGGCUGAGGCAGGAGAAUCGCUUGAACCCAGGAGGUGGAGGUUGCAAUGAGCCCAGAUCGUGCCACUGCACUCCAGCCUGGGUGACAGAGUGAGACCCUGUCUCAA